GUCCUCGUGGCGCAAUGGACUAGCGCACCGGACUUCUAGUGAACACGGCAAUGGUCGUGAAUGGCAUUCGGAGGUUGUGGGUUCGAGUCCCACCGAGGACG
Molecule: transfer RNA, 101 nt
Filed under: Branchiostoma floridae (Florida lancelet)
Lineage: Eukaryota; Metazoa; Chordata; Leptocardii; Amphioxiformes; Branchiostomatidae
Rfam family: tRNA
About the family: Transfer RNA (tRNA) molecules are approximately 80 nucleotides in length. Their secondary structure includes four short double-helical elements and three loops (D, anti-codon, and T loops).
Source: Rfam by way of RNAcentral